Molecule: ribosomal RNA, 462 nt
Filed under: uncultured bacterium
Lineage: Bacteria
Description: partial 16S ribosomal RNA
Rfam family: Bacterial small subunit ribosomal RNA
Source: RNAcentral
GAUCAACGCUGGCGGCGUGCUUAACACAUGCAAGUCGAACGAACUUUUUCCUUCGUUAGUCCCUUAGUGGCGGACGGGUGAGUAACGCUUGGGUAACCUUCCCUGUCCUGUGGGACAACAGCUGUAACCGGCUGCUAAUACCGCUUCAGCCCUUUGCACUGCAUGGUGCAUAUGGAAAAGGAGCAAUCCGGUUCAGGAUGGAACCGAGUCUGAUUAGCCAGUUGGCAGGGUAACGUCCUACCAAAGCGACGAUCAGUAGCCGAUCUGAGAGGAUGUACGGCGACAUUGGGACUGAGAAACGGCCCAGACUCCUACGGGAGGGAGGAGUGGGGAAUAGUGCAAAAUGGAGGAAACUCUGAUGGAGCGACGCCGCGUGAGUGAAGAAGUAAGGCGGGAUGUAAAGCUCUAUCAGCAGGGAAGAAAAUGACGGUACCUGACUAAGAAGCAACGGCUAAAUACGUG